Molecule: microRNA, 22 nt
Filed under: Amborella trichopoda
Lineage: Eukaryota; Viridiplantae; Streptophyta; Magnoliopsida; Amborellales; Amborellaceae
Description: atr-miR8558a
Source: miRBase by way of RNAcentral
UUUCCGAAUCCGCCUAUACCUG